Molecule: ribosomal RNA, 492 nt
Filed under: uncultured bacterium
Lineage: Bacteria
Description: partial 16S ribosomal RNA
Rfam family: Bacterial small subunit ribosomal RNA
Source: RNAcentral
AGUGAACGCUGGCGGUGUGCCUAACACAUGCAAGUCGAACGGCAGCACAGUAAGAGCUUGCUCUUACGGGUGGCGAGUGGCGGACGGGUGAGGAAUACAUCGGAAUCUACUUUUUCGUGGGGGAUAACGUAGGGAAACUUACGCUAAUACCGCAUACGACCUACGGGUGAAAUCAGGGGAUCUUCGGACCUUGCGCGACUGAAUGAGCCGAUGUCGGAUUAGCUAGUUGGCGGGGUAAAGGCCCACCAAGGCGACGAUCCGUAGCUGGUCUGAGAGGAUGGUCAGCCACACUGGAACUGAGACACGGUCCAGACUCCUACGGGAGGCAGCAGUAGGGAAUAUUGGACAAUGGGCGCAAGCCUGAUCCAGCCAUACCGCGUGGGUGAAGAAGGCCUUCGGGUUGUAAAGCCCUUUUGUUGGGAAAGAAAAGCAGCAGGUUAAUACCCCGCUGUUCUGACGGUACCCAAAGAAUAAGCACCGGCUAACUUCGUG